GCGCGCCAGAGAGGGUGAGAGCCCCGUAAGCGAAAUCCAAAGAAGGCCUAUCAGUAUCCUGAGUAGGGCGGGACACGUGAAAUCCCGUUUGAAUCCGCGAGGACCAUCUCGCAAGGCUAAAUACUAACCAGUGACCGAUAGUGAACCAGUACCGUGAGGGAAAGGUGAAAAGAACCCCGGGAGGGGAGUGAAAGAGAACCUGAAACCGUGUGCCUACAAGUAGUCAGAGCCCGUUAACGGGUAAUGGCGUGCCUUUUGUAGAAUGAACCGGCGAGUUGCGUUAGUCAGCAAGGUUAAGUCAGAAAAGACGGAGCCGUAGCGAAAGCGAGUCUGAAGAGGGCGAGCAGUUGGCUGACGCAGACCCGAAACCAAGUGACCUACCCAUGACCAGGUUGAAGGCGCGGUAAAACGCGCUGGAGGACCGAACCCACGUAAGUUGAAAAUUGCGGGGAUGAGUUGUGGGUAGCGGUGAAAUUCCAAACGAACUUGGAGAUAGCUGGUUCUCUCCGAAAUAGCUUUAGGGCUAGCCUCGCAAAGAGGAUGCUGGAGGUAGAGCUCUGUUUGGACUAGGGGCCCGUCAAGGGUUACUGAAUUCAGAUAAACUGCGAAUUCCAGACAUUUAUGUGCGGGAGUCAGACUGCGAGUGAUAAGAUCCGUAGUCGAAAGGGAAACAGCCCAGAUCACCAGUUAAGGUCCCAAAAUUCAUGCUAAGUGGAAAAGGAUGUGGAGUUGCGCAGACAACUAGGACGUUGGCUCAGAAGCAGCCAUCAUUCAAAGAGUGCGUAAUAGCUCACUAGUCGAGUGACGCCGCGCCGAAAAUUUACCGGGGCUAAGCAUGAUACCGAAACUGUGGAUGUGCAUUUAUGCACGUGGUAGGAGAGCGUUCUAGCGGCGGUGAAGCAUGACCGAGAGGACAUGUGGAGCUUCUAGAAGUGAGAAUGCCGGUAUGAGUAACGAAAGACAGGUGAGAAUCCUGUCCGCCGCAAGACUAAGGUUUCCUGGGGCAGGCUCGUCCGCCCAGGGUAAGUCGGGACCUAAGGCGAGGCCGAGAGGCGUAGUCGAUGGACAACAGGUUGAAAUUCCUGUACUGCACCGAAUCGUUAUGAGCGAUGGAGGGACGCAGGAGGCUAGCAGCGCGUGGUGCUGGAUACCACGUUCAAGCGUCAAGUCUGAGAGCGAGUCAAAUGCUUGCUCUCAUAAGGACAAGGCGUGAUGAGGAGCGAAAUUAAAGUAGCGAAGGCUGCGACGUCACACUGCCGAGAAAAGCUUCUAGCCAGAGACGGUGCACCCGUACCGCAAACCGACACAGGUAGUCGAGGAGAGUAUCCUCAGGUGAGCGAGAGAACUCUCGUUAAGGAACUCGGCAAAAUGGCCCCGUAACUUCGGGAGAAGGGGCGCUGGUCGCAAGAUCAGCCGCAGUGAAAAGGCCCAAGCAACUGUUUAUCAAAAACACAGGCAUCUGCAAAAUCGUAAGAUGAAGUAUAGGUGCUGACACCUGCCCGGUGCUGGAAGGUUAAGAGGAGAGCUUAGCGCAAGCGAAGGUUUGAAUUGAAGCCCCAGUAAACGGCGGCCGUAACUAUAACGGUCCUAAGGUAGCGAAAUUCCUUGUCGGGUAAGUUCCGACCUGCACGAAAGGUGUAAUGAUUUGGGCACUGUCUCAACGAGAGACUCGGUGAAAUUAUAAUACCCGUGAAGAUGCGGGUUACCCGCGACAGGACGGAAAGACCCCAUGGAGCUUUACUGCAGUUUAAUAUUGGGUAUCUGUCAAGCAUGUACAGGAUAGGUAGGAGCCGGAGAAGAUAGGACGCCAGUCUUAUCUGAGGCGCUGUUGGGAUACUACCCUUGCUUGACGGAUGCUCUAACUCAGGCCUGUGAUCCAGGCCGAGGACAGUGUUUGACGGGCAGUUUGACUGGGGCGGUCGCCUCCUAAAGUGUAACGGAGGCGCCCAAAGGUUCCCUCAGAAUGGUUGGAAAUCAUUCGCAGAGUGUAAAGGUAAAAGGGAGCUUGACUGCGAGAGAGACAACUCGAGCAGGUACGAAAGUAGGGCUUAGUGAUCUGGUGGUACCGCAUGGAAGGGCCAUCACUCAACGGAUAAAAGCUACCCUGGGGAUAACAGGCUUAUCUCCCCCAAGAGUUCACAUCGACGGGGAGGUUUGGCACCUCGAUGUCGGCUCGUCGCAUCCUGGGGCUGAAGUCGGUCCCAAGGGUUGGGCUGUUCGCCCAUUAAAGCGGCACGCGAGCUGGGUUCAGAACGUCGUGAGACAGUUCGGUCCCUAUCCGUCGUGGGCGUAGGAAAUUUGAGAGGAGCUGUCCUUAGUACGAGAGGACCGGGAUGGACGCACCGCUGGUGUACCAGUUGUCUUGCCAAAGGCAUCGCUGGGUAGCUAUGUGCGGACGGGAUAAGCGCUGAAAGCAUCUAAGUGCGAAGCCCCCCUCAAGAUGAGAUUUCCCAUUUCUUCAAGAAAGUAAGACACCUCAGAGACGAUGAGGUAGAUAGGCCGGGAGUGGAAGAGCCGUGAGGCUUGGAGCGGACCGGUACUAAUCAGUCGAGGACUUGACCAAAA
Molecule: ribosomal RNA, 2565 nt
Filed under: Lactobacillus delbrueckii subsp. bulgaricus
Lineage: Bacteria; Bacillati; Bacillota; Bacilli; Lactobacillales; Lactobacillaceae
Description: partial 23S ribosomal RNA
Rfam family: Bacterial large subunit ribosomal RNA
Source: RNAcentral